GGCAAAGUGGGGCGGGCGCGGGACGCGUGCGGGAUUGCGGCGGCAGCGGGGCACGCGGGCACCUGGGAGCGGCGGGCUGCGGCGGGAGGCGUUGGAGACUGGCUCCCGAGGGCUGUUAGGACCUUCCCUCAGGCCCGGGUGCUCAGAACGCUGGAGGACUUGCUUUUCUUGGGCCUUGAUGCGAAGUGCUGACCCCGCUGGGCAGGCGGGGCAGCUCCGGCGCUCCUCUGAGACCACUGCGCUCCACGUUGAGGUGGGUGUGGGGGGCGCACAGGAAUUGAAGUGGAAGUUUGGGAAGCUUUAGGGUCGCUAGAGGGGGACUCCGGUUGGAGAGUGGAGCGGAACUUCUGGACAAGCCCUGACAAGCCAAGCCAAAGGUCCGCUCCGGCGCGAGUGGGUUCUUACGUCUGUUGCUAGAUUAUCGUCCAAAAGUGUUAAUGCCCAAGUGACUGACAUCAACUCCAAGGGACUGGAAUUGAGGAAGACUGUUACUACAGUUGAGACUCAGAACUUGGAAGGCCUGCAUCAUGAUGGCCAAUUCUGCCAUAAGCCCUGUCCUCCAGGUGAAAGGAAAGCUAGGGACUGCACAGUCAAUGGGGAUGAACCAGACUGCGUGCCCUGCCAAGAAGGGAAGGAGUACACAGACAAAGCCCAUUUUUCUUCCAAAUGCAGAAGAUGUAGAUUGUGUGAUGAAGGACAUGGCUUAGAAGUGGAAAUAAACUGCAUCCGGACCCAGAAUACCAAGUGCAGAUGUAAACCAAACUUUUUUUGUAACUCUACUAUAUGUGAACACUGUGACCCUUGCACCAA
This 810-nucleotide small RNA is filed under the name Pongo abelii (Sumatran orangutan). Its description in RNAcentral is "processed transcript". Lineage: Eukaryota; Metazoa; Chordata; Mammalia; Primates; Hominidae. The record is from RNAcentral.